AUACGUAGGGGGCGAGCGUUGUCCGGAAUGACUGGGCGUAAAGGGCGUGUAGGCGGCGAUUUAAGUUUGGAGUGAAAGUCCCGUUUUCAAGAUGGGAAUUGCUUUGGAUACUGGAGAGCUAGAGUGCAGGAGAGGUAAGCGGAAUUCCUAGUGUAGCGGUGAAAUGCGUAGAUAUUAGGAGGAACACCAGUGGCGAAGGCGGCUUACUGGACUGUAACUGACACUGAGGCACGAAAGCGUGGGGAGCAAACAGGAUUAGAUACCCUGGUAGUCCACGCUGUAAACGAUGAAUACUAGGUGUAGGGGGUAUCAACUCCCUCUGUGCCGCAGCAAACGCAAUAAGUAUUCCGCCUGGGGAGUACGGCCGCAAGGUUGAAACUCAAAUGAAUUGGCGGGG
This 397-nucleotide ribosomal RNA is filed under the name uncultured bacterium. RNAcentral's name for it is "partial 16S ribosomal RNA". It matches the Rfam family "Bacterial small subunit ribosomal RNA", at positions 523 to 918 of the family's 1533-position model. The record is from RNAcentral.